GAUGAACGCUGGCGGCGUGCUUAACACAUGCAAGUCGAACGGUGAAGGCGGAGCUUGCUCUGCUGGAUCAGUGGCGAACGGGUGAGUAACACGUGAGCAAUCUGCCCCUGACUCUGGGAUAAGCGCUGGAAACGGCGUCUAAUACUGGAUACGAGCUGCGAAGGCAUCUUCAACAGCUGGAAAGAACUUCGGUCAGGGAUGAGCUCGCGGCCUAUCAGCUUGUUGGUGAGGUAACGGCUCACCAAGGCGUCGACGGGUAGCCGGCCUGAGAGGGUGACCGGCCACACUGGGACUGAGACACGGCCCAGACUCCUACGGGAGGCAGCAGUGGGGAAUAUUGCACAAUGGGCGAAAGCCUGAUGCAGCAACGCCGCGUGAGGGACGACGGCCUUCGGGUUGUAAACCUCUUUUAGCAGGGAAGAAGCGAAAGUGACGGUACCUGCAGAAAAAGCGCCGGCUAACUACGUG
This 468-nucleotide ribosomal RNA is filed under the name uncultured bacterium. RNAcentral describes it as "partial 16S ribosomal RNA". It matches the Rfam family "Bacterial small subunit ribosomal RNA", at positions 28 to 507 of the family's 1533-position model. The record is from RNAcentral.